Molecule: ribosomal RNA, 117 nt
Filed under: Danio rerio (zebrafish)
Lineage: Eukaryota; Metazoa; Chordata; Actinopteri; Cypriniformes; Danionidae
Source: RNAcentral
UGCAACAGCCAUGUCACCCUGCAGCCCAAGACCAGUUACUCACUGAAGCUAAGCAGGGCUGAGGCUGGUCAGUACCUGGAUGGGAGACCACUAGGGAACACUAGGUUGCUGUUGGAA